Molecule: ribosomal RNA, 67 nt
Filed under: Parahaemophilus parainfluenzae
Lineage: Bacteria; Pseudomonadati; Pseudomonadota; Gammaproteobacteria; Pasteurellales; Pasteurellaceae
Description: Haemophilus parainfluenzae (human oral metagenome) partial 16S ribosomal RNA
Source: RNAcentral
GACUUAAGUGAGGUGUGAAAGCCCCGGGCUUAACCUGGGAAUUGCAUUUCAUUCUGGGUCGCUAGAG